Molecule: transfer RNA, 73 nt
Filed under: Pediococcus acidilactici
Lineage: Bacteria; Bacillati; Bacillota; Bacilli; Lactobacillales; Lactobacillaceae
Description: tRNA-Lys
Rfam family: tRNA
About the family: Transfer RNA (tRNA) molecules are approximately 80 nucleotides in length.
Source: RNAcentral
GGCGGCUUAGCUCAGUUGGGAGAGCAUCUGACUUUUAAUCAGGAUGUCACAGGUUCGAGCCCUGUAUCCUCCA